GAUGAAGAACGUAGCGAAAUGCGAUAAGUAAUGUGAAUUGCAGAAUUCAGUGAAUCAUCGAAUCUUUGAACGCACAUUGCGCCCGCCAGUAUUCUGGCGGGCAUGCCUGUUCGAGCGUCAUUUCAACCAUCAAGCCCCCGGCUUGUGUUGGGGACCUGCGGCUGCCGCAGGCCCUGAAAAGCAGUGGCGGGCUCGCUGUCACACCGAGCGUAGUAGCAUACAUCUCGCUCUGGGCGUGCUGCGGGUUCCGGCCGUGAAACCACCUUCAUAACCCAAGGUUGACCUCGGAUCAGGUAGGAAGACCCGCUGAACUUAAGCAUAUCAAUAAGCGGAGGA
RNAcentral lists this unclassified non-coding RNA (336 nucleotides) under soil metagenome. RNAcentral's name for it is "partial contains 5.8S ribosomal RNA, internal transcribed spacer 2, and large subunit ribosomal RNA". The stretch from base 1 to 120 matches the Rfam family "5.8S ribosomal RNA", at positions 35 to 154 of the family's 154-position model. The record is from RNAcentral.